GUCUUUUUGUUUUAGAUUUAAAGUCUGGCCUGCCCACUGAUUAAUUGAAUGGCCGCGGUAUUUUGACCGUGCUAAGGUAGCAUAAUCAUUAGUUUUUUAAUUGAAAGCUGGAAUGAAGGGUUGCAUGAGAAAAAGGCUGUCUCUAUUUAAAUUUUUUAGAAUUUUAUUUUUAAGUUAAAAAGCUUAAAUUUUAUUAAAAGACGAGAAGACCCUAUAGAGUUUAAUAGAUUUAUUAAUUUUUUAUUUAGAAUUUAAUUAAUUGGUAAAAUAUAUUUAUUUGAUUGGGGUGAUUAGAAAAUUUAAUUAACUUUUCUUAAUUUUUAUAUUUAUAUAUAGUUAUAUGAUCCGAUAAAAAUUUGAUUAUAAGAAAAAUUACCUUAGGGAUAACAGCGUAAUUUUAUUAGAGAGUUCUAAUCGAUAAUAAAGAUUGCGA
This 433-nucleotide ribosomal RNA is filed under the name Exosoma lusitanicum. RNAcentral describes it as "partial 16S large subunit ribosomal RNA". Lineage: Eukaryota; Metazoa; Arthropoda; Insecta; Coleoptera; Chrysomelidae. The record is from RNAcentral.